RNAcentral lists this transfer RNA (72 nucleotides) under Stegodyphus mimosarum. It matches the Rfam family "tRNA". Rfam says of the family: Transfer RNA (tRNA) molecules are approximately 80 nucleotides in length. The record is from Rfam by way of RNAcentral. Lineage: Eukaryota; Metazoa; Arthropoda; Arachnida; Araneae; Eresidae.
GCCUUCGUGGUGUAGUGGUAGCACGCUUGACGCGUAUUCGAGAGGUCCGUGGUUCGAGUCCCAGCGAGGACA